AUAUAAAUAAACUAAUUUAAGUUAUUAGACUCAUAAUCUAAAUAUAGAUUUAUUCUUUUAUAUA
Molecule: transfer RNA, 64 nt
Filed under: Hylaeus dilatatus
Lineage: Eukaryota; Metazoa; Arthropoda; Insecta; Hymenoptera; Colletidae
Description: tRNA-Met
Source: RNAcentral